GGGGAAUAUUGGACAAUGGGCGAAAGCCUGAUCCAGCCAUGCCGCGUGUGUGAAGAAGGUCUUCGGAUUGUAAACUUCUUUUAUCUGGGACGAAAACGGGAUUUUUAUCUCAAUUGACGGUACCAGAGGAAUAAGCACCGGCUAACUCCGUGCCAGCAGCCGCGGUAAUACGGAGGGUGCGAGCGUUAUCCGGAUUUACUGGGUUUAAAGGGUGCGUAGGUGGGCUUAUAAGUCAGUGGUGAAAUCUCCGAGCUUAACUUGGAAACUGCCGUUGAUACUAUAGGUCUUGAAUUAUCUGGAGGUAAGCGGAAUAUGUCAUGUAGCGGUGAAAUGCUUAGAUAUGACAUAGAACACCAAUUGCGAAGGCAGCUUACUACAUAUAAAUUGACGCUGAGGCACGAAAGCGUGGGGAUCAAACA
This 419-nucleotide ribosomal RNA is filed under the name uncultured bacterium. Its description in RNAcentral is "bacterial SSU rRNA". It matches the Rfam family "Bacterial small subunit ribosomal RNA", at positions 356 to 774 of the family's 1533-position model. The record is from RNAcentral.